GCCAGGCAUGGCGGCACAUGCCUAUAAUCCCAGCAGCUUGGGAGGCUGAGGCAGGAGUAUAGAGAGAUCAAAGCAAGCCUCAGCAACUUAGUGCCCUAAGAAACUCAGUAAGACCCUGUCUCUA
Molecule: small RNA, 124 nt
Filed under: Marmota monax (woodchuck)
Lineage: Eukaryota; Metazoa; Chordata; Mammalia; Rodentia; Sciuridae
Source: RNAcentral